Non-coding RNA from Omnitrophica WOR_2 bacterium, 73 nucleotides. The record is from Rfam. Lineage: Bacteria; Pseudomonadati; Candidatus Omnitrophota.
GCCCCUGUAGCUCAGCCGGUAGAGCACGUCCUUGGUAAGGACGAGGUCACCGGUUCAAGACCGGUCGGGGGCU